This 585-nucleotide ribosomal RNA is filed under the name Hemileia vastatrix. RNAcentral's name for it is "eukaryotic LSU rRNA". It matches the Rfam family "Eukaryotic large subunit ribosomal RNA", at positions 43 to 635 of the family's 3401-position model. Lineage: Eukaryota; Fungi; Basidiomycota; Pucciniomycetes; Pucciniales; Zaghouaniaceae. The record is from RNAcentral.
UCAAUAAGCGGAGGAAAAGAAACUAACAAGGAUUCCCCUAGUAAUGGCGAAUGAAGAGGGAAAAGCCCAAUUUUGUAAUCUGGCCCUUUUAGGGUCCGAGUUGUAAAGUGAAGAGGUGCUUUCUUGUGCUGGACCAUAUAUAAGUCUGUUGGAAUACAGCAUCAUUGAAGGUGAGAAUCCUGUCUAAUGAUAUGGACUACCAGUGCUUUUAUGAAGCAGUCUCUAAGAGUCGAGUUGUUUGGGAAUGCAGCUCAAAAUGGGUGGUAAAUUCCAUCUAAGGCUAAAUAUUGGUGAGAGACCGAUAGCAAACAAGUACCGUGAGGGAAAGAUGAAAAGAACUUUGGAAAGAGAGUUAACAGUAUGUGAAAUUGUUAAAAGGGAAACACUUGAAGUUAGACUUGAUAAUGUCAGUUCAGCCUUUUAUUAGGGUGUAUUCUGUGCAUUAUCAGACCAACAUCAAUUUUGGGUGUUAGAUAAGGGUUUGGGAAAUGUAGCAACUUUGGUUGUGUUAUAGUCCUGAAUUUCAUAUAUAAUGCCCAAGAUUGAGGAGAUUCACAGUAAGCUGGAAAGAGAUUUUCAGUAGGU